UACGUAGGGCGCAAGCGUUAUCCGGAAUUAUUGGGCGUAAAGAGCUCGUAGGCGGUUUGUCGCGUCUGCCGUGAAAGUCCGGGGCUCAACUCCGGGUCUGCGGUGGGUACGGGCAGACUAGAGUGAUGUAGGGGAGACUGGAAUUCCUGGUGUAGCGGUGAAAUGCGCAGAUAUCAGGAGGAACACCAGUGGCGAAGGCGGUGCUCUGGGCCGGAACUGACGCUGAGGAGCGAAAGCGUGGGGAGCAAACAGG
RNAcentral lists this ribosomal RNA (253 nucleotides) under uncultured bacterium. RNAcentral's name for it is "partial 16S ribosomal RNA". It matches the Rfam family "Bacterial small subunit ribosomal RNA", at positions 524 to 776 of the family's 1533-position model. The record is from RNAcentral.